UCACUGACAUGUUCUUACAGGGGACAGUUUCCCAGUUUUGAAGAGACCUGUUGGGAUAAACACAUUCAAGAUAAUAGCGUUGGGACAGGACAAAAGCCACAUCAUUGUAAAAAUGCCUUCAACCUGAAACAUUCUGAUGGAACUAUGCAUGAACAAUGGACACACACUGCCUAAUGUGGGAUGGAAGAGUAGCUGGCGGACCGCGGCAUUCUUUGGAUUCGUGGUAAGAAAUUCACCCUCCCUCCGAGAAGUCCAUCAGUUAAUAUUAACAAGCAGAAACAGCAAGAACCACUUGGCAGGAGGCUCUGAAUUUCCCCCAGACUCUGAGUCAAGAGGUCAUCAAGGAAGGAGUCUCUGUAAAGUACACCUCUCUUCCUGUGAUGAGAGUGACGACCGGGGUGAAUGGAAUCAGCGUAGACUGCCCUCCUUUGGCAAACAAACACCCACUCUAGUAAGUGCCUUUUAAUGUGCAUCGAGGCUGUGUCUAGGAAAAGGAUGCACAGUUGGCAAGUCAGAGCUGUAAGGGGAUCACUUUGACAUGCCGAUAAAGCUUAUUGGUUUACUUUGGACUUGGCUUUAUCAUUUACUGAAGGAUAUUAUUAGUGUGGAGAUGAUAGCCGUUUUCGGACUUCUCGAACAAAAGCCAGUGAAAUGUAUAUGAACAAGAGGUCUGUUCUGGAGAAUCCUACCCUGUUUCUUCAGUGACUUUGGGAUCCUAAUCAUGCAACUUAACAGAGAUAAGGCUCAGAGCAGAGAAAAAGAGCCCACCCAGUUUGGGGCCCCCAGGAAGACGAAAGUCAGUGGUGUUAAAAAUGGAAGCCCAUCCAACUGAGCAUGUGUGUCGUUUUCUCUUAUUGCAAAUAUGAUAUUAUAAAAAUAGGCUUGCUCUUUGGAGCCAGAUGGCACGCAAUACGUCUGAAGCUAAAUCCAGGCUUGUGACAGUGGUCAUCGCCAGCGAGGAACCACUUGGUCUGUGAUGCCAAACUAUUCGGUUCUUUAUGAGUCUUUUCCAUCAAGCAAGCUCCUCUGUACUUCUCUGAGUGUAAAGAAACAUACAUGCCCCUUGAUGACUGUGGGACUAUUGUUUUGCGAGGUAUCAUUUUGUUUGCUCUGUUCCAUCUACGUCACUCUUCUUUAGGAAAAAGAACACAUAAAUAAUAACCUUGGUACUUAUCAUCAACUAGCUUGUCGCUUCACAAUCUGAUUUGUGUUUACUUUUCAAUGACUUCAUUACUGAUUGAUGUAUCCAUUAAUUCAGCGAAGUCUUCAGUUACAUACAAACCAAGAUUGUAGGCGCUCAAGUCAAAAGUUGGGUUCGUCAACACACAGAUUUUAAAAACCAUGUCGUCUUUACGUUUUUCUCAGUUCUAGCUUCUAUGGCUUAUUUAUUUUGAAGAUAAUCCUCCUAAUUGUACCAUUUAUAAAAGUGAUUUGUAAACUGUAAUGUACGAUGCAAAUACUUUUGAUCCUCAGAGGUUAAGACUGGAAUAUUAUAUAAGUUAAAUAUUUUAAGCAUCUGUUGCAUGCUCAGAAAUAUGUGAGGUGUUUUGUGGAUAAAAGGACUAAAUUGACAGAGUUUCUAUACUCAAGAAAGUUCGAGUCUAUGAGAAGAAAAUAAUUUAAUCAUGGAAAAGACACAAAUUUAGCCACUGAGUUGUCUGAAAAUUUUCUAUAAUCUGUUUGCCAGUUAAGGCCAUUAACAUUGUGAUUCUCUGUGCUCCUUGGUCUGAUUUUGCAAUAACCUAUGUAGCCAGCAAUAGCUCUUAUUUUAAGAUAAGCUUCCUCCAAACAUAAUAAAUUAUUCAAUUUUAUUUAAAGAGCAAAAUUCUGCUUGUUAAAUAAUUUCCUACUUUCACAGCAUUUUGGAAAUUUAUUGAUGGACACUGAAUCCAGGCUACUUGUCUCUGUAUUUUGCUAGAAACCAAAAAGAUUUUCAAAUAAUAAUUGUGAAUAUUUUUAUUAUUAACAGCAAAUAUUCAAUUGUUAAGGCAAAACUUCCAAAUGUAGGCUUAUCAAAAAAAGUUUGCGUAUAUAUCAGUUGGCUGUUUUGUUUAAUGAGCGUGCGUGUCCUCAGUCUCUCCGUCAUGUCUGACUCUUUGUAACCCCAUGGAAUGUAGCUGCUAGGCACCUUCCUCUAUCCAUGGAAUUUUCCAGGCAAGAAUACUGGAGUGGGUGGACCCAAGGAUCGAAUCCCUAUCUCUUGCAUCUCCUGUAUUAGCAGGCGGAUUCUUUACCACUGAGCCACCUGGAAAGCAUUCUAUUUAUUAGUUAUGUGAAUAAAGAACUGAACUUUUGGAAAUUCUG
Long non-coding RNA from Capra hircus (goat), 2304 nucleotides. NCBI's taxonomy places the organism in Eukaryota, Metazoa, Chordata, Mammalia, Artiodactyla, Bovidae. The record is from Ensembl.